AUUGAACGCUGGCGGCGUGCUCUACACAUGCACGUCGAACGGUAACAGGCCUUCGGCUGCUGGCGGGUGACGAACGGGGGGGUAAUGCAUCGGAACGUGCCCAGACGUGGGGGGUAAAGCAACGAAGCCAGUACUCAUACAGCAUGUGAUCUGAGGCUCAAAGCAAGGGGCCAGGCAGCCAUGUUUAGCCUCGCGCCCUUGGAGCGGCCGAUGGCAGAUUAGGUAGUUGGCGGGGUAAAGGCCUACCAAGCCGGCAAUCUGUAGCUGGUCUGAGAGGACGACCAGCCACACUGGGACUCAGACACGGCCGAGAGGCCCACGCGAGCCAGCAGUCGGCAAUUUUCGACACAGGCUGAAGUCUUGAUGCAGCAAUGCCGCGUGCGGGAAGAAGGUCUUCGGGUUGUACACCGCUGUUUCUCGGAACGAAAAGGCUGUGGCUAAUACCUGGUGCUGAUGACGGUACCGUAAGAAUAAGCACCGGCUAACUACGUG
Molecule: ribosomal RNA, 492 nt
Filed under: uncultured bacterium
Lineage: Bacteria
Description: partial 16S ribosomal RNA
Rfam family: Bacterial small subunit ribosomal RNA
Source: RNAcentral